UGGGUUUGACAUCCUCUGACCGUCUGGGAAACCAGAUUUUUCCGGUUCUGCCGGAACAGAGUGACAGGUGCUGCAUGGCUGUCGUCAGCUCGUGUCGUGAGAUGUUGGGUUAAGUCCCGCAACGAGCGCAACCCUUAUUUUUAGUUGCCAGUAUUAAGUUAGGCACUCUAAAGAGACUGCCUCGGUUAACGAGGAGGAAGGUGGGGAUGACGUCAAGUCCUCAUGGCCUUUAUACCCAGGGCUACACACGUGCUACAAUGGGCUGUACAAAGGGUCGCCAAUCCGCGAGGAUGCGCUAAUCCCAAAAAGCAGCUCUCAGUUCGGAUUGGAGUCUGCAACUCGACUCCAUGAAGG
RNAcentral lists this ribosomal RNA (354 nucleotides) under uncultured bacterium. RNAcentral's name for it is "bacterial SSU rRNA". It matches the Rfam family "Bacterial small subunit ribosomal RNA", at positions 976 to 1325 of the family's 1533-position model. The record is from RNAcentral.